GGUAGGGAAUGCCGGCCUUCGGGUUGUAACCUUCUUUCAGCAGGGAAAAAGCGGGAGUGGCGGUACCUGCAGAAAAAGCACCGGCUAACUACGUGCCAGCAGCCGCGGUAAUACGUAGGGUGCGGAGCGUUGUCCGGAAUUAUUGGGCGUAAAGAGCUCGUAGGCGGCUUGUCGCGUCGGAUGUGAAAGCCCGGGGCUUAACCCCGGGUCUGCAUUCGAUACGGGCAGGCUAGAGUUCGGUAGGGGAGAUCGGAAUUCCUGGUGUAGCGGUGAAAUGCGCAGAUAUCAGGAGGAACACCGGUGGCGAAGGCGGAUCUCUGGGCCGAUACUGACGCUGAGGAGCGAAAGCGUGGGGAGCGAACAGGAUUAGAUACCCUGGUAGUCCACGCCGUAAACGUUGGGCACUAGGUGUGGGCGGCAUUCCACGUCGUCCGUGCCGCAGCUAACGCAUUAAGUGCCCCGCCUGGGGAGUACGGCCGCAAGGCCUAAAACUCAAAGGAAUUGACGGGGGCCCGCACAAGCGGCGGAGCAUGUGGCUUAAUUCGACGCAACGCGAAGAACCUUACCAAGGCUUGACAUACACCGGAAACGGCCAGAGAUGGUCGCCCCCUUGUGGUCGGUGUACAGGUGGUGCAUGGCUGUCGUCAGCUCGUGUCGUGAGAUGUUGGGUUAAGUCCCGCAACGAGCGCAACCCUUGUUCUGUGUUGCCAGCGUGCCUUUCGGGGUGACGGGGACUCACAGGAGACUGCCGGGGUCAACUCGGAGGAAGGUGGGGACGACGUCAAGUCAUCAUGCCCCUUAUGUCUUGGGCUGCACACGUGCUACAAUGGCCGGUACAAUGAGCUGCGAUGCCGUGAGGUGGAGCGAAUCUCAAAAAGCCGGUCUCAGUUCGGAUUGGGGUCUGCAACUCGACCCCAUGAAGUCGGAGUCGCUAGUAAUCGCAGAUCAGCACUGCUGCGGUGAAUACGUUCCCGGGCCUUGUACACACCGCCCGUCACGUCACGAAAGUCGGUAACACCCGAAGCCGGUGGCCCAACCCCCUUGUGGGGAGGGAAUGCGUCGAAGGUUUGGGACUGGCGAUCCUGGACGAAGUCGUAACAAGCGC
RNAcentral lists this ribosomal RNA (1105 nucleotides) under Streptomyces radiopugnans. RNAcentral describes it as "partial 16S ribosomal RNA". It matches the Rfam family "Bacterial small subunit ribosomal RNA", at positions 400 to 1498 of the family's 1533-position model. The record is from RNAcentral. Lineage: Bacteria; Bacillati; Actinomycetota; Actinomycetes; Kitasatosporales; Streptomycetaceae.